This 22-nucleotide non-coding RNA is filed under the name Arabidopsis thaliana (thale cress). Lineage: Eukaryota; Viridiplantae; Streptophyta; Magnoliopsida; Brassicales; Brassicaceae. The record is from RNAcentral.
GGGAGAGUUUCUUUUGAGCGGC